Molecule: unclassified non-coding RNA, 401 nt
Filed under: soil metagenome
Description: partial contains 5.8S ribosomal RNA, internal transcribed spacer 2, and large subunit ribosomal RNA
Rfam family: 5.8S ribosomal RNA (bases 1-121)
Source: RNAcentral
GAUGAAGAACGUAGUGAAAUGCGAUAAGUAAUGUGAAUUGCAGAAUUCAGUGAAUCAUCGAAUCUUUGAACGCACCUUGCGCCCUUUGGCUAUUCUGAAGGGCAUGCCUGUUUGAGUAUCAUGAACACCUCAACUCUCAUGGUUCGCCAUGAUGAGCUUGGACUUUGGGGGUCUUGCUGGCCUACGGUCGGCUCCUCUCAAAUGAAUCAGCUUGCCAGUGUUUGGUAGAGUCGCAGGUGUGAUAACUAUCUACGCUUGUGGUUUUCUGCCAGAUAACCUUCAGUGAUGGAGGUUCGCUGGAGCUUAUAAUGUCUCUCCCCAGUGAGGACAGCUUUUUGAACGUUUGAUCUCAAAUCAGGUAGGACUACCCGCUGAACUUAAGCAUAUCAAUAAGCGGAGGA